AUGAGAUUAAUUUUAAGGUAUUGUUUGUUUGCUUAUGGAAUUUUACUUCCAUCACCUUGUUAUGCAGGCAGUAUUCUGGCACAGGACACCAUGAACCCGUCAUCUUCAACUGCCCAAAUGAACGGCUCAAUGAGCAGCACCUCAUCCAUCUUCCCAACAAGUGAUGACGCUCAAACCGUUUCAACUCGAGUCACCACCGUUGAUGAAUCGAGUCCGAGCACCGUUGAGUGGAACUCGAGCACGAGUCUGGGAAGCGCCAGCACUCCAGAAAUGAAUACCAAUGGCACCACCUCGGGUCUAGCCCCAACUUCUGUGACGACCUUCUUGGCUAGUACGUCUAAGAAUAUGUCAGGCACUGCCACAGCGGAAGGGCCAGUUUAUGACACGAGCAGUACCACUUCCCAGCAGGGUGCAUUGAGCUCCAGUUCUUCAGAGAUCGCACGGAGCACGGGAUUCAGCACGUCAGUUGGUACUUUGAUUUCUGCUUCGACUCAGUUGCACACGACAGGAACAGAGCAAGCAUUGAAGCCUGAGCCACCAGGUACCCUCUCAGCUGGCGCGGUUUCUGUGAUCAUCGCUUUCUGCGUGCUGGGCCUCAUCGUGUUGCUUGGAGCAGCAGUGUAUUACAUCCGCAGCAAACGUGGGCCAGAGUUUGAGCGCCUGCAAGAUGACGUACCCAUGUGUCUGAAAUUCCCAUCCACGUGUUUCUCUCCUGCUUCUCUUCCUCCUCCUCCUCUUUCUUCCACUUUGCAAUUUGAAGACUGCCGUAAAGGAUGAUAACAUUGGAGCGAUUACUUUUGCGCAGCUCGGAUGACCCACGGAAUGCCGAUUCAUCAAUCUCUUUUCCACGUAUUGGGGGUUUUUUUUUUUUUUUUUGGCGUGGGGGUGGAGGGCAUGCUUUAACAAAUGCAAGUUGA
Molecule: long non-coding RNA, 917 nt
Filed under: Eptatretus burgeri (inshore hagfish)
Lineage: Eukaryota; Metazoa; Chordata; Myxini; Myxiniformes; Myxinidae
Description: lncRNA (ENSEBUG00000017116.1)
Source: RNAcentral